UACAGAGGGUGCAAGCGUUGUUCGGAAUUAUUGGGCGUAAAGCGCGUGUAGGCGGCUUUGCAAGUCGGGUGUGAAAGCCCUCAGCUCAACUGAGGAAGUGCGCCCGAAACUGCAGAGCUUGAGUGCCGGAGAGGGUGGCGGAAUUCCCCAAGUAGAGGUGAAAUUCGUAGAUAUGGGGAGGAACACCGGUGGCGAAGGCGGCUCUCUGGGACGGUACUGACGCUGAGACGCGAAAGCGUGGGGAGCGAACAGG
RNAcentral lists this ribosomal RNA (253 nucleotides) under uncultured bacterium. RNAcentral describes it as "partial 16S ribosomal RNA". It matches the Rfam family "Bacterial small subunit ribosomal RNA", at positions 524 to 776 of the family's 1533-position model. The record is from RNAcentral.